UUGUUUUUUGUGCUGCAGCUUAAAGAAAGUUUCCAAAGAGCGGCCGACUUACACAGAACUCAUGCAACAUCCUUUCUUCACCUCCCACGAGGCCAAAGAGACGGACGUGGCCAGCUUUGUGAAGGUCAUCCUGGGGGACUGAGCUGCAGCUCUCAGCCGGAGGAGGGAGGAUCCGCUGGAGAAGAAAAAAUACCACAAAGAAAAAGCACCGACAAAGCAGCCCCUGCUACCUGCAGGAGUCCUCCCACCUGUUGGUCCACCUGCCUGCAUCACCUGACCCGGUGGGCGGAGCGUCAGUAAUCUGGAAUCAUUACCUGUAUGCAAAAAGCUCCCUCUGAUUAGAUCCGCUCAGCUCUGAAGCCUCCUGAACCGAGUGGUUUGUGCUGCGGAGGUUCAGGCGAUGUGCCGACGAUAUAGUGCUCUCUGUGUAUAAUCUAAAUGUUUGCGUACUCCAAGCAACAUGUUGCAUCAGAUUAUUAAUUGACUGCAUGUACAGAGUUUAUCUGUGGGUAGAAACGGGCUCAGACAGCCAGUGAGGAGCAGCUGUAGACUUCAGGGCCCCCUGGUGGUCACACACAGGUACUGCACUGCACUGCUUUAUCCCUGGUUCCUGCCCAGGUCACGUUUUGGGCUCUUUGUGCUGCCUGAGUGUGUUACAGUGUGUUACAGUGUGCGCGAGCUGAUGCGUGAUUAACGUGUGUUUGUGUGUUUGUGAGGCUGCUCGACUCUGGAGGCA
Molecule: long non-coding RNA, 736 nt
Organism: Acanthochromis polyacanthus (spiny chromis)
Lineage: Eukaryota; Metazoa; Chordata; Actinopteri; Pomacentridae
Exons: 2
Source: RefSeq, a predicted model, not a curated record